This 1066-nucleotide long non-coding RNA is filed under the name Homo sapiens (human). RNAcentral describes it as "non-protein coding lnc-GSDMC-34:31". Lineage: Eukaryota; Metazoa; Chordata; Mammalia; Primates; Hominidae. The record is from RNAcentral.
GUAGUGUUGGCUGAGGCUCCCUCUUGCCGGCUCCUGCUCUUGAAACACACCCAAGUGCAAUGUUCAAUGUCACUGUUUGGUGAGCACUCAUAUGGGACAUAAACAUCUUCAUUUUCUUGCAAUUCAGAGAGGUCCAUCUACAUGCCUCUUCCCCUGACCUCCUUGUCACCAUCUUACUUCCAAGUCUGUGACUGCAACUGGAAUUUACACCACUGGCUUUCCUGAUUCUUAGGGCUUUGGACUUGGACUGAAGCUACAGCAUUUACUCUCCUGGGUCUCCAACUUGCCAACUGCAGAUUUUGUGGCUUCUCAGCCUCCAUACUGUGUGAGCCAAUGCCUUAUAGUAAAUCAUGUACAUACAUACAUGCAUAUUACAUACGUAUGUACAUACAUUUAUACACUUACAGAUAAAAUAUUAUAUUGGUUUGUUUCUCUAAAGAACUUAGAACAAUACAAAUUUUGGUAGGCAAAUACGCUCAUUUACCUAUGCUGAGGAAUGGAAUUGCAGGGUCGUAGCAUAGACAUAUGUUUAGUUUUAGAAGUAGACAGUUUCAAAAGGUUUUUCAAAGUGACAGCUUUCAUUUAAGGGGAAAAAGUGAUUUUGUUUUCUUUGGGGAGGGAGAAAAAGAGAGCAAGAGAUGCUAUUGGACCGUAUCUUUAUAAGUUUCACAUGAAACAAUGUGAUUAUGUUUCUCAGAUGCUCUCUGUGUUAGGUAGAAGAGGUGGAGAGAAUUUUUGUUUUUAGGGAAAAUAACCCAAGGGAGGAUACUAAGACCCUUUCUUCCUUUUGAUUCUUCUUGUUUGCUGCCUUUUGGUAAAGACAUAGAUCACAGCCUACAGAUGGACGAAUAAAAUAGAGAUGUCAAAUGAAAUCACAGAGCUAAACUGUAAAUAACCCUGAUGUUUUAAUACUCAAUCAAACUACAGAAAGAUCUGGGGUUACUUUUUCUUAGAUCUGCUGUGGGGAAAGAAAGAAAGGAACAAGAUUAGUGACAGAGAUUAGUGAAGAAACUACAUAAUUAUACCUGUGUCUCUUUCUUUCAAAGCUUAGAAUGUACCAUGUUAA